Molecule: ribosomal RNA, 873 nt
Filed under: uncultured Pseudomonadales bacterium
Lineage: Bacteria; Pseudomonadati; Pseudomonadota; Gammaproteobacteria; Pseudomonadales
Description: bacterial SSU rRNA
Rfam family: Bacterial small subunit ribosomal RNA
Source: RNAcentral
AUUGAACGCUGGCGGCAGGCCUAACACAUGCAAGUCGAGCGGAUGAAGGGAGCUUGCUCCUGGAUUCAGCGGCGGACGGGUGAGUAAUGCCUAGGAAUCUGCCUGGUAGUGGGGGAUAACGUCCGGAAACGGGCGCUAAUACCGCAUACGUCCUGAGGGAGAAAGUGGGGGAUCUUCGGACCUCACGCUAUCAGAUGAGCCUAGGUCGGAUUAGCUAGUUGGUGGGGUAAAGGCCUACCAAGGCGACGAUCCGUAACUGGUCUGAGAGGAUGAUCAGUCACACUGGAACUGAGACACGGUCCAGACUCCUACGGGAGGCAGCAGUGGGGAAUAUUGGACAAUGGGCGAAAGCCUGAUCCAGCCAUGCCGCGUGUGUGAAGAAGGUCUUCGGAUUGUAAAGCACUUUAAGUUGGGAGGAAGGGCAGUAAGUUAAUACCUUGCUGUUUUGACGUUACCAACAGAAUAAGCACCGGCUAACUUCGUGCCAGCAGCCGCGGUAAUACGAAGGGUGCAAGCGUUAAUCGGAAUUACUGGGCGUAAAGCGCGCGUAGGUGGUUCAGCAAGUUGGAUGUGAAAUCCCCGGGCUCAACCUGGGAACUGCAUCCAAAACUACUGAGCUAGAGUACGGUAGAGGGUGGUGGAAUUUCCUGUGUAGCGGUGAAAUGCGUAGAUAUAGGAAGGAACACCAGUGGCGAAGGCGACCACCUGGACUGAUACUGACACUGAGGUGCGAAAGCGUGGGGAGCAAACAGGAUUAGAUACCCUGGUAGUCCACGCCGUAAACGAUGUCGACUAGCCGUUGGGAUCCUUGAGAUCUUAGUGGCGCAGCUAACGCGAUAAGUCGACCACGUGGGGAGUACGGCCGCAAGGUUA